UAUGAGGGGGGCAAGCGUUGUUCGGAAUUAUUGGGCGUAAAGGGCGCGUAGGCGGCGCCACAAGUCACUUGUGAAAACUCUGGGCUCAACUCAGAGCCUGCAAGCGAAACUGUGGUGCUGGAGUAUGGGAGAGGUGCGUGGAAUUCCCGGUGUAGCGGGGAAGUGCGUAGAUAUCGGGAGGAACACCUGUGGCGAAAGCGGCGCACUGGACCACAGCUGACGCUGAGGCGCGAAAGCUAGGGGAGCAAACAGG
This 253-nucleotide ribosomal RNA is filed under the name uncultured bacterium. Its description in RNAcentral is "partial 16S ribosomal RNA". It matches the Rfam family "Bacterial small subunit ribosomal RNA", at positions 524 to 776 of the family's 1533-position model. The record is from RNAcentral.